UGGGGAAUAUUGCACAAUGGGCGCAAGCCUGAUGCAGCCAUGCCGCGUGUGUGAAGAAGGCCUUCGGGUUGUAAAGCACUUUCAGCGAGGAGGAAGGUGGUGAGCUUAAUACGCUCAUCAAUUGACGUUACUCGCAGAAGAAGCACCGGCUAACUCCGUGCCAGCAGCCGCGGUAAUACGGAGGGUGCAAGCGUUAAUCGGAAUUACUGGGCGUAAAGCGCACGCAGGCGGUUUGUUAAGUCAGAUGUGAAAUCCCCGGGCUCAACCUGGGAACUGCAUUUGAAACUGGCAAGCUAGAGUCUCGUAGAGGGGGGUAGAAUUCCAGGUGUAGCGGUGAAAUGCGUAGAGAUCUGGAGGAAUACCGGUGGCGAAGGCGGCCCCCUGGACGAAGACUGACGCUCAGGUGCGAAAAGCGUGGGGCAGCAAACAGGAUUAGAUACCCUGGUAGUCCACGCUGUAAACGAUGUCGAUUUUGGAGGUUGUCGCCCUUGAGGCGUGGCUUCCGGAGCUAACGCG
This 516-nucleotide ribosomal RNA is filed under the name uncultured bacterium. Its description in RNAcentral is "partial 16S ribosomal RNA". It matches the Rfam family "Bacterial small subunit ribosomal RNA", at positions 355 to 859 of the family's 1533-position model. The record is from RNAcentral.